UACAGAGGGGGCAAGCGUUGUUCGGAAUUACUGGGCGUAAAGGGCGCGUAGGCGGCCUGUUAAGUCGAACGUGAAAUCCCCGGGCUCAACCCGGGAACUGCGUCCGAUACUGGCAGGCUUGAAUUCGGGAGAGGGAUGCGGAAUUCCACGUGUAGCGGUGAAAUGCGUAGAGAUGUGGAGGAACACCAGUGGCGAAGGCGACUCUCUGGUCUGCAACUGACGCUGAGGCGCGAAAGCGUGGGGAGCAAACAGG
Molecule: ribosomal RNA, 253 nt
Filed under: uncultured bacterium
Lineage: Bacteria
Description: partial 16S ribosomal RNA
Rfam family: Bacterial small subunit ribosomal RNA
Source: RNAcentral